GUGGGGAAUUUUGGACAAUGGGGGCAACCCUGAUCCAGCCAUUCCGCGUGAGUGAAGAAGGCCUUCGGGUUGUAAAGCUCUUUCGGCAGGAACGAAACGGUGAGCUCUAACAUAGCUCGCUAAUGACGGUACCUGAAGAAGAAGCACCGGCUAACUACGUGCCAGCAGCCGCGGUAAUACGUAGGGUGCGAGCGUUAAUCGGAAUUACUGGGCGUAAAGCGUGCGCAGGCGGUUGUGUAAGACAGGUGUGAAAUCCCCGGGCUUAACCUGGGAACUGCGCUUGUGACUGCACGGCUAGAGUAUGGCAGAGGGGGGUGGAAUUCCACGUGUAGCAGUGAAAUGCGUAGAGAUGUGGAGGAACACCGAUGGCGAAGGCAGCCCCCUGGGCCAAUACUGACGCUCAUGUACGAAAGCGUGGGGAGCAAACAGGAUUAGAAACCCCAGUAGUCC
This 450-nucleotide ribosomal RNA is filed under the name uncultured bacterium. RNAcentral describes it as "partial 16S ribosomal RNA". It matches the Rfam family "Bacterial small subunit ribosomal RNA", at positions 354 to 796 of the family's 1533-position model. The record is from RNAcentral.